This 248-nucleotide unclassified non-coding RNA is filed under the name Hevea brasiliensis (rubber tree). Lineage: Eukaryota; Viridiplantae; Streptophyta; Magnoliopsida; Malpighiales; Euphorbiaceae. The record is from RNAcentral.
CGACGACUGGCCGUGGCUCGCGUGGGUGCUCCAGCACUCGAUACAGACGCCCGUCUCCUGGCUCUGGCCGUUCUGAGUUCCUCGUCCCCAUAUUCCCCUUUGCUCCCCUCCCUGUGCCUCCGACGUAGUUUCGGACUACAGCGUUUUCGUUGACUUUUCCUAGUAGAGUCUAGACGUAGACGUAGAUGCGCGAAGCAUACCCGCAUACCGGACUGUAGACUGACGACGACGUCGGUGCGUUUGGGGGG